AGUGGGGAAUAUUGGACAAUGGGGGCAACCCUGAUCCAGCCAUGCCGCGUGAAUGAUGAAGGCCUUCGGGUUGUAAAGUUCUUUUGACGGGGACGAUGAUGACGGUACCCGUAGAAUAAGCUCCGGCUAACUUCGUGCCAGCAGCCGCGGUAAUACGAAGGGAGCUAGCGUUGUUCGGAUUUACUGGGCGUAAAGGGCGCGUAGGCGGUUUGGUAAGUUGGAUGUGAAAGCCCUGGGCUUAACCCGGGAAUUGCAUUCAAAACUACCUUACUUGAAUUCGGUAGAGGUUGGUAGAAUUCCCAGUGUAGAGGUGAAAUUCGUAGAGAUUGGGAAGAAUACCCGUGGCGAAGGCGGCCAACUGGACCGACAUUGACGCUGAGGCGCGAAAGCGUGGGUAGCAAA
This 402-nucleotide ribosomal RNA is filed under the name uncultured Rhodospirillaceae bacterium. Its description in RNAcentral is "bacterial SSU rRNA". It matches the Rfam family "Bacterial small subunit ribosomal RNA", at positions 353 to 772 of the family's 1533-position model. Lineage: Bacteria; Pseudomonadati; Pseudomonadota; Alphaproteobacteria; Rhodospirillales; Rhodospirillaceae. The record is from RNAcentral.